RNAcentral lists this ribosomal RNA (1818 nucleotides) under Triticum aestivum (bread wheat). Its description in RNAcentral is "partial small subunit ribosomal RNA". The record is from RNAcentral. Lineage: Eukaryota; Viridiplantae; Streptophyta; Magnoliopsida; Poales; Poaceae.
AUGGAGCUGAUCGGCAUCAUUAUCACUUUGGCAUUUCUGCUCUCAUUUGCAGCGUCUGAUCGCCAAGGUGAUGCAUUAUAUGAUAUGAAGCUGAAGCUGAAUGCUACUGGCACACAGCUUACAGACUGGAAUCAAAAUCAAGUUAACCCUUGCACUUGGAAUUCUGUUAUUUGUGACAGUAACAAUAAUGUCGUGCAAGUAACAUUGGCUUCUAUGGGGUUCACUGGAGUUCUGUCGCCAAGAAUUGGAGACCUCGAGCAUUUGAAUGUUCUGUCCUUACCUGGUAACAAGAUUACCGGUACCAUACCAGAGCAGCUUGGGAACCUAUCUAGUUUGACAAGCUUAGAUUUGGAAGAAAAUCUGCUGGUUGGAGAAAUCCCAGCUUCUCUUGGCCAUCUUUCGAAGCUCCAACUCUUGAUACUAAGUCAAAACAGACUAAGUGGAACUGUUCCUGAUACACUGGCAACCAUCUCAAGCUUGACAGACAUUCGGUUGGCCUACAAUAAUCUCUCCGGUCCAAUACCUGCUCAACUAUUUCAAGUUGCACGUUACAACUUUUCUGGCAAUAACUUGACUUGUGGAGCAAACUUCGCUCAUCCUUGUGCAUCAAGUUCGCCUUACCAAGGUUCAUCCCGUGGUUCGAAAAUAGGCGUUGUCCUUGGAACAGUUGGUGGAGUGAUAGGGCUGCUCAUCAUAGGGGCUCUGUUUAUUAUCUGUAAUGGAAGGAGAAAAGGUCAUCUGCGUGAAGUUUUUGUGGAUGUAUCAGGUGAGGAUGACCGAAGAAUUGCAUUUGGGCAGUUGAAAAGGUUUGCAUGGCGAGAAUUACAACUCGCUACUGAUAACUUCAGUGAGAAAAAUGUUCUUGGACAAGGGGGCUUUGGAAAAGUAUAUAAAGGAGCACUUCCAGAUGGCACUAAGAUAGCCGUAAAGCGGUUAACUGAUUAUGAAAGUCCUGGUGGGGAGGCUGCCUUCCUGCGUGAAGUUGAGCUGAUUAGUGUUGCAGUUCACCGGAAUCUUUUAAGAUUGAUUGGGUUCUGUACAACACAAACGGAACGUCUACUUGUUUAUCCUUUCAUGCAGAAUCUUAGCGUAGCCUACCGUUUGCGAGAAUUUAAACCUGGGGAACCAAUAUUAGAUUGGAACGCAAGGAAACGAGUGGCUAUAGGCACAGCGCGUGGACUGGAGUACCUGCACGAGCACUGCAAUCCUAAGAUCAUACACCGUGAUGUCAAGGCCGCGAAUGUCUUGCUUGAUGAAGGUUUCGAACCAGUUGUGGGCGACUUUGGCUUGGCAAAGUUGGUGGAUGUACAGAAGACAUCUGUGACCACUCAAGUCCGAGGGACUAUGGGUCACAUUGCACCAGAAUAUCUGUCCACAGGGAAGUCAUCUGAGAGAACAGAUGUUUUCGGCUAUGGUAUAAUGCUUCUUGAAGUGGUCACCGGGCAGCGCGCCAUUGACUUUUCACGUCUGGAGGAAGAAGAUGACGUGCUGUUACUUGAUCAUGUGAAGAAGCUACAAAGAGAAGGGAAUCUAGACGCCAUCGUGGAUCGCAACCUGAACAACAGCUUCGACAGGCAGGAGGUGGAGAUGAUGAUGCAGAUCGCGCUGCUGUGCACCCAGGGGUCGCCCGAGGACCGGCCCUCCAUGUCGGAGGUGGUAAGGAUGCUGGAAGGGGAAGGCCUGGCGGAGCGGUGGGAGGAGUGGCAGCAGGUGGAGGUGACGAGGAGGGAGGACUACGAGCGGAUGCAGCAGCGGUUCGACUGGGGCGAAGACUCCAUCUACAACCAGGACGCCAUCGAACUGUCCGCCGGCAGAUAA